GUGGGGAAUAUUGGACAAUGGGCGAAAGCCUGAUCCAGCCAUGCCGCGUGUGUGAAGAAGGUCUUCGGAUUGUAAAGCACUUUAAGUUGGGAGGAAGGGCAGUAAGUUAAUACCUUGCUGUUUUGACGCUACCGACAGAAUAAGCACCGGCUAACUUCGUGCCAGCAGCCGCGGUAAUACGAAGGGUGCAAGCGUUAAUCGGAAUUACUGGGCGUAAAGCGCGCGUAGGUGGUUUUGUAAGUUGGAGGUGAAAUCCCCGGGCUCAACCUGGGAACGGCCUCCACAACUGCAUGACUAGAGUACGGUAGAGGGUAGUGGAAUUUCGGGUGUAGCGGUGAAAGGCGUAGAUAUAGGAAGGAACACCAGUGGCGAAGGCGACUACCUGGACUGAUACUGACACUGAGGUGCGAAAGCGUGGGGAGCAAACAGGAUUAGAUACCCCUGUAGUCC
This 450-nucleotide ribosomal RNA is filed under the name uncultured bacterium. RNAcentral describes it as "partial 16S ribosomal RNA". It matches the Rfam family "Bacterial small subunit ribosomal RNA", at positions 354 to 796 of the family's 1533-position model. The record is from RNAcentral.